Molecule: long non-coding RNA, 1284 nt
Organism: Rosa chinensis
Lineage: Eukaryota; Viridiplantae; Streptophyta; Magnoliopsida; Rosales; Rosaceae
Exons: 3
Source: RefSeq, a predicted model, not a curated record
UCGUCAAUCCCAACUAUGAAAAUUGGAUUUCUCAAGAGCAAACUGUGCUAAGUUGGAUCAAUGGGUCUCUCACUCCCCUUGUGCUUGCAACGGUUGCCUGUUUCACAUUUGCCUUUUCCACCUGGAGGUCCUUAUAAGGAGAUAUGCAUCUCAAUCAUAGAAUCGGGGUUUGCAGCUCCACAGAGAUCUCUUUUGUAUCCAUGCAUGGUAAUCUUAGCAUUUCUGACUAUCUCGACAAGAUAAAUCUCAUUGCAGAUAAUCUUGCUCUUGCUGGAUAUCCUAUUAGCAAUGAAGAUAUGGUAUCUAUUAUUAUGAACAACGUUGGUCCUCUUUAUUAGAAUACAGAACGAAGGAUGGAUGAUCAACAUCAAGCUGCUCUUGAUCUCAGCUCUCAACUGACAACCCUACAUGUCUCUAAUUCUGGUCGUGGCAGAGGCUGAGAUCUUCAUUAGACUCCAUUUUUUGGAGGACUUAACCCUAAUCCUCCUUCUAGAUUUUGCAAAUCGGGCACGCUAACUAUAUUUGGUGCUCGAGGACAUGGUAUUUCAAACUGUGGAACCUUUAUUCUUGGUCAUCAUCCUUCCACCAACAAUUCAUCAUUUGGCAAAAUUUCUUGUCAAAUUUGUAGCCGCAUUGGUCAUUCAGCUUUAGAUUGCUACAAUCGGCAGAACCUUUCCUUUGAAGGUAGAGUUCCCACCAAGAAACUCAGUGCUUUGGCUGCCUUUGUAUCUACACCGUCAUCAUCUACAUGGUUGCUUAAUAGUGGAGCCAACACCCAUGUUACCUCCGAUCUCAAUAAUCUGCAGUUCCUAAAAGAAUACAUUAGCAUUGACCAAAUUGGUGGUAUAGAACUUAAAAACAGGGAGGAUGCUAUUUCGGGGGAGGAGUAGAUAUAGUCUAUCUGUUGCGCCCUCAAUCAGAACAUGAUCUUGAUCCCAGUCGUCAUUUUGCUUUUGUUGGUGUACGAGUCCCCACACAAGUAUGACAUUCUAGGCUAGGAUAUUCUUCAUUCAAAAUUUUAUCUAGGAUGUUGUCAAAUAAAACUGUGCCCUUCUCGAGCCCUUUGUUGAUUCAUUUUGUCGGUCUUGUCCAUUAGGAAAGAGUAUUAUAUAAGCUUCCUUUUCAAUUAUUUGAGUAUGUAUCAAAUUAUCCUUUGGAGUUAAUUGAUUCAAAUGUUUGGUCUUGUUCUAAAAUAAAAAUGCAUCAAACUAAUGAAGGAGGUGAAUAUACUUACCUUGCUCUAUGACAAUACCUAGCUAACAAUGGCAUUUGUCAACUGUUUUC